This 325-nucleotide ribosomal RNA is filed under the name uncultured bacterium. RNAcentral's name for it is "bacterial SSU rRNA". It matches the Rfam family "Bacterial small subunit ribosomal RNA", at positions 28 to 334 of the family's 1533-position model. The record is from RNAcentral.
GAUGAACGCUGGCGGCGUGCUUAACACAUGCAAGUCGAACGAAGCACUUAUGAUUGAGAUUUCGGUUGAUUGACUAAGUGACUUAGUGGCGGACGGGUGAGUAACGCGUGGGUAACCUGCCUCGUACAGGGGGAUAACAGUUAGAAAUGACUGCUAAUACCGCAUAACCCGCUAGGGCCGCAUGGCCCCGGACGGAAAAGAUUUAUCGGUACGAGAUGGACCCGCGUCUGAUUAGCUAGUUGGUGAGGUAACGGCCCACCAAGGCGACGAUCAGUAGCCGGCCUGAGAGGGUGACCGGCCACAUUGGGACUGAGACACGGCCCAA